This 497-nucleotide ribosomal RNA is filed under the name uncultured bacterium. RNAcentral describes it as "partial 16S ribosomal RNA". It matches the Rfam family "Bacterial small subunit ribosomal RNA", at positions 28 to 507 of the family's 1533-position model. The record is from RNAcentral.
GACGAACGCUGGCGGCGUGCCUAAUACAUGCAAGUUGAGCGCUGAAGGUUGGUACUUGUACCGACUGGAUGAGCAGCGAACGGGUGAGUAACGCGUGGGGAAUCUGCCUUUGAGCGGGGGACAACAUUUGGAAACGAAUGCUAAUACCGCAUAAAAACUUUAAACACAAGUUUUAAGUUUGAAAGAUGCAAUUGAAUCACUCAAAGAUGAUCCCGCGUUGUAUUAGCUAGUUGGUGAGGUAAAGGCUCACCAAGGCGAUGAUACAUAGCCGACCUGAGAGGGUGAUCGGCCACAUUGGGACUGAGACACGGCCCAAACUCCUACGGGAGGCAGCAGUAGGGAAUCUUCGGCAAUGGACGAAAGUCUGACCGAGCAACGCCGCGUGAGUGAAGAAGGGUUUCGGAUCGUAAAACUCUGUUGGUAGAGAAGAACGUUGGUGAGAGUGGAAAGCUCAUCAAGUGACGGUAACUACCCAGAAAGGGACGGCUAACUACGUG